Molecule: long non-coding RNA, 238 nt
Filed under: Mytilus galloprovincialis (Mediterranean mussel)
Lineage: Eukaryota; Metazoa; Mollusca; Bivalvia; Mytilida; Mytilidae
Source: RNAcentral
AUCUGUAACCAUAACAUCUUCAUGCCUUAUAUAUCAUGUACUGUAGUACGCCGCUAGAUUAAAACUGACGUGGAAAGGUAACACAUGCCCACCGAAAGCUCUUUUUUAGAGAGCCCAGGUGGUCGUGUGGUCUAGCGGGACGGCUGCAGUGCAGGCGAUUUGGUGUCACGAUAUCACAGUAGCAUGGGUUCGAAUCCCGGCGAGGGAAGAACCAAAAAUUUGCGAAAGCAAAUUUACA